ACCCAAGGGGAGCCGUCAAUUAGAGCCGUGCUUGAGCCUAAGGCUGACCUGAGCCGUUUGAAGGCAGAUCUUCCACGGAGCGCCCCGAUCCUUUUCUGGAAAGGUCAAAGGGACGAGAGGGGUCUCUGCAGUGUCCUGGAUCUGGUUUCAACCUCACCUUCUCCAUGGAUGAGAAAAAAAGUCAUUUGGAUUCACUGUGCCUCGGUGUCCCCAGACGGCAAGGAGGACUCAGUCUUUGGUACCUGGUCCAUCAGAGGACAAGCUUUCAUGUGUUAGCCAUCACCUCUGUCAUCACCAUCAUUGUCAUCAUCAUCGUCCUCAUCACUUCAACACGCUGAGCUUUGUAGCUUAAAAGCAAAGUGCCUUUAACAAUGUGGAAGAUGCCACCUUUGGGAUCAAAUGGGAGUUUGGGAUUAUUUCUAUUUUCUAAUUGUUCAGCCCCCUCCCACUAAGUGUGAAGCAUAGAGCCAUUAAGUUGAAAUGGAUUUUAUUCACCACAUGGGCCCUCAAAUCCUUUCUGGAACAAGAGUGGAUGUAAAAAUAAAUCAAAUAAAUACAUUUUCAGCGUGUGCAGCCCAACCCAGAGCUCCUUGCAGAUAACUUCUUCCUUUAAAGCACGUGGAGGCCAGCCAGCACCACUGGGAAAGUGGCAAAUAGAAAAGCCGGCUCUGGCCCCGGGCUGCAUUGGGGCAGUUGAUUGUACUCUUCGAUUCUCAGCACUUCAACACUGCUUGCCUCUUAAGGAUUUUCUGAAGGUCACUGAUGCUGACAGGGAGUGUGGAAAAAGGAUGUUUAUACCUGGGGCUGGGAGAUGCCCUCUCUCAGGCUGGAAGAGACUGGCAGAGCUGCCUGAUAAUGAGAACAGUGCCAUCCACGCCGUUCUGAGCACAUGGAAACUGAUCUCUUACUAGAACCAAGUCAACAAGAGCUACCCUUGGACUCUAGAUGCCUGGGAGGGUCUGGAGUCGUCGGGCAGAAGGAGAAGGUGGAGCGGGUCUUCCCAGAGGCCAGCUCCCACAGGGGCGGCCAAGGCUCUGGGCCUCUCGGCGUGCCUCUGCAGAUCCUGUUGGAUCCAGAACCGUCUGGAUCACCUGAAGAGUUAUUUGAAACCAGCUGAUUUUCCAAGGGGACAGUUGACAUGGGUGGGGAUAUCACAGGCAGGCGCAUUGGCUUCAGAAUUAGAGGCCAAAAGUGUGGACUCUCUCCAUCACUAACUCAGUUCUGCUCUCCAGCAAAACCCUUCGCAGCUCGGGCUAACCUGUCUGUGAGUGGAGGUGGGCAGCUCCUGUCUCAGAGUCCUGGUGGGGGUGAGGUGGAAGGCCCCGGGGGGGCACCCUACAGUGAACUCUGUAGCUCCCUCCCC
Molecule: long non-coding RNA, 1363 nt
Filed under: Rhinopithecus roxellana (golden snub-nosed monkey)
Lineage: Eukaryota; Metazoa; Chordata; Mammalia; Primates; Cercopithecidae
Description: lncRNA (ENSRROG00000045867.1)
Source: RNAcentral